Molecule: long non-coding RNA, 2840 nt
Organism: Oncorhynchus gorbuscha (pink salmon)
Lineage: Eukaryota; Metazoa; Chordata; Actinopteri; Salmoniformes; Salmonidae
Exons: 2
Source: RefSeq, a predicted model, not a curated record
UGGACAACAUCACUGACAGGAUAUAGAAUACACUGACAGGAUAUAGAAUACACCUGGACAACAUCACUGCAGGAUAUAGAAUACACCUGGACAACAUCACUGACAGGAUAUAGAAUACACCUGGACAAUGUGUCUGACACAGAUUAAAUCAGGUGGACAAAAUUACUGACAGAGAUUCAAACCAGGUGGACAUCAAUCUGUCUGAUAUGGACAGGAGACAGCAGCACUGCUCUGAUGACCUGCAGAGAGGACAGGAGACAAACAGACAGAGAUUUAAACCAGGUGGACAUCAAUCUGUCUGAUAUGGACAGGAGACAGCAGCACUGCUCUGAUGACCUGCAGAGAGGACAGGAGACAAACAGACAGAGAUUUAAACCAGGUGGACAUCAAUCUGUCUGGUAUGGACAGGAGACAGCAGCACUGCUCUGAUGACCUGCAGAGAGGAGAGGAGACAAACAGACAGAGAUUUAAACCAGGUGGUCCUUCUGUAGCUCAGUUGGUAGAGCAUGGCGCUUGUAACGCCAGGGUAGUGGGUUCGAUCCCCGGGACCACCCAUACGUAGAAUGUAUGCACACAUGACUGUAAGUCGCUUUGGAUAAAAGCGUCUGCUAAAUGGCAUAUAUUAUUAUUAUUAUUAUUAUAUUAAUCUGUCUGGUAUGGACAGGAGACAGCAGCACUGCUCUGAUGACCUGCAGAGAGGACAGGAGACAAAACAGACAGAGGUACAGAAGACGUCACUUGAAUUACCUUCCACAACACAUGAAUAAUGACAUUUGUAAACCCAGUGAUCGUGGUGCCCUUUGUUUAAUGCAUGUCAACAAGACCCCGGGACAACACACUCCUUCUAAGGCUGAGAAACAGGUGUGUUUAAUGUGUGUCAACAUGACCCCGGGACAACACACUCCUUCUAAGGCUGAGAAACAGGUGUGUUUAAUGUGUGUCAACAUGACCCCGGGACAACACACUCCUUCUAAGGCUGAGAAACAGGUGUGUUUAAUGUGUGUCAACAUGACCCCGGGACAACACACUCCUUCUAAGGCUGAGAAACAGGUGUGUGGAAAUGUAUGAAAGAUAAUGACGACAAUACGAGGGGGGAAGGGGGGUUCUCUCUGUAUGUAGACAUUGAAUAAUGUUCUGUAUAGAUAUGACAUCAAUAAGACGAGGUUCUGUAUGUUCUGUAUAGAUAUGACAUCAAUAAGACGAGGCUCUGUAUGUUCUGUAUAGAUAUGACAUCAAUAAGACGAGGUUCUGUAUGUUCUGUAUAGAUAUGACAUCAAUAAGACGAGGUUCUGUAUGUUCUGUAUAGAUAUGACAUCAAUAAGAUGAGGUUCUGUAUGUUCUGUAUAGAUAUGACAUCAAUAAGACGAGGUUCUGUAUGUUCUGUAUAUAUAUGACAUCAAUAAGACAAGGUUCUGUAUAGAUAUGACAUCAAUAAGACAAGGUUCUGUAUGUUCUGUAUAGAUAUGACAUCAAUAAGACGAGGUUCUGUAUGUUCUGUAUAGAUAUGACAUCAAUAAGACGAGGUUCUGUAUGUUCUGUAUAGAUAUGACAUCAAUAAGACAAGGUUCUGUAUAGAUAUGACAUCAAUAAGACAAGGUUCUGUAUGUUCUGUAUAGAUAUGACAUCAAUAAGACGAGGUUCUGUAUGUUCUGUAUAGAUAUGACAUCAAUAAGACGAGGUUCUGUAUGUUCUGUAUAGAUAUGACAUCAAUAAGAUGAGGUUCUGUAUGUUCUGUAUAGAUAUGACAUCAAUAAGACGAGGUUCUGUAUGUUCUGUAUAGAUAUGACAUCAAUAAGACGAGGUUCUGUAGGUUCUGUAUAGAUAUGACAUCAAUAAGACGAGGUUCUGUAUGUUCUGUAUAGAUAUGACAUCAAUAAGACGAGGUUCUGUAUAGAUAUGACAUCAAUAAGACGAGGUUCUGUAUGUUCUGUAUAGAUAUGACAUCAAUAAGACGAGGUUCUGUAUGUUCUGUAUAGAUAUGACAUCAAUAAGACGAGGUUCUGUAUGUUCUGUAUAGAUAUGACAUCAAUAAGACGAGGUUCUGUAGGUUCUGUAUAGAUAUGACAUCAAUAAGACGAGGUUCUGUAGGUGGACAUCGAAUCAUAUCAUGUUCUAUACUAAAACAUAUUAUUGAAAACAUGUACAGCUGGUAAACCAGAAAUAAAGACAGACCAUAGUUUUAAUUCUGUGUCCACAAACUGUUCAAAAAAAUACCUAUCUGUUCUUCUCAGCUCUGUUGAGACUCUUGGAGUUAUUGCAUUGUUAAAUCUCUAUUUUUUUAAGGUAUGAUACAUAUAUAUAUGUUUUGUAUGAAAAGGGAUUGGUUUAAAACUGGAGAUUUUAUUUAAUAGAUUUAUAACAUUCAAUUAUGUUGUUUUUUAAAACAUUUUUUUUUAAUGUUGAUAAAAUGUUUUGCCUUGAUGAGAACAUGCCAGGCAGGUGGAGGGUGACGAAAACAAAAUGGCUUCCUUUCAAAACAAUCGUGUUCCGUGUUCACGUGCUGAUCGGAACUUGGAACUUUCCGACCUGCUGACCGCUUGUGGUUAUUAAACAUGUGCCGCGUUCAACCAGUUAGAAAGACUGAAUUUCAGAGUUUUCCGACUAGCAAGUGAACACGACAUUUAAACCCCCAUUUUCCGGUACAGGGAUAUGAUGUCAUCAGUAUGAAUCUGCUGCAGGUGUUUUGACGAAUGUUCAUAUGUUUAUUUUUUAUUUUUUUAAAUAAUUUAAAUGAUUGAUUGAUUGUUUUUUAUCAGAAUGUUGUAUCACUGUUAAUUGAUCACUGUUAAUUGAUCACUGUUAAUUGAUCACUGUUAAUUGAUUGAAGGCAUCUACCUCAG